GACGUAGGAGGCGAGCGUUGUCCGGAUUUACUGGGCGUAAAGGGCGCGUAGGCGGCACUGUUAGUCAGGCGUGAAAGUCCUGGGCUCAACCUGGGAACUGCGCUUGAUACGGCAGAGCUAGAGGAUGGAAGAGGCUCGCGGAAUUCCCAGUGUAGAGGUGAAAUUCGUAGAUAUUGGGAAGAACACCGGUGGCGAAGGCGGCGAGCUGGUCCAUUACUGACGCUGAGGCGCGACAGCGUGGGGAGCAAACAGG
RNAcentral lists this ribosomal RNA (253 nucleotides) under uncultured bacterium. Its description in RNAcentral is "partial 16S ribosomal RNA". It matches the Rfam family "Bacterial small subunit ribosomal RNA", at positions 524 to 776 of the family's 1533-position model. The record is from RNAcentral.